RNAcentral lists this long non-coding RNA (974 nucleotides) under Equus asinus (donkey). RNAcentral describes it as "lncRNA (ENSEASG00005036043.1)". The record is from RNAcentral. Lineage: Eukaryota; Metazoa; Chordata; Mammalia; Perissodactyla; Equidae.
UUGGAAUAGUGGGAUGGAAAAUGGAACACAGAACCUGGAACACAAGAAAAUAACUUUGUCUUCUGCUGUGCAGAGAUUAACCUGGCUUCCAAGUGGCUCAAGCCUAUAUGUGCCCUGGGACCCAUGGCCCUGACUCCCCUCGCUCUCCCUGCGCCCCUAGGCCACUGGCCCCCACCUGCUCCUGGAUGAUGCUGACGGGGCCGUGGUGAGUCAGCUGGGGCUGAGACGGUGUUCUCGAGGAUGUGCGCUUCUGCAAGUGAAGAUGAGCGUGGAGGUAGACAGCACUGUGAACAUCUCCUGAGUGCCGGGUCUUAGUCGUCCGUUCGAGGCUGGGUUUGCCCCAAAGCAGACUCUGAGCGAGGAUCUCAGUGCAAGACGCGUAUUUGGGAGGCGAAUCAGGGAAGCAUGUAGCUUCCCCAUUUUGUAGGCAGAGAAACGGGUGCCUGAGAGAGAGCAGCCAGGGGAGAAAGCGGCGUCCUUGCUUGAGCACGGAGCUCCUGGGCCACCUCCCCCCACCGCCCCGUCUAGUGCCCUGGCCAGCCAGCAAGUGCUGAGGCAGCAUCUGUCGGAUAUCCCCAAGUGCUUAAUCUAUGCUGUGGACUGAAAGACAGCGACAACAGCGUGCAGACCCCUGCUGUCCCAGUAGUGGCAUGCUGGGGGAGACAGACGGCCGACAGCCAGGGCCUCACAGGGCAGUCCUGAUCCAGGGCUGUUUGGAAAUGUUGGGGACACUAACACCUCCUCACAGAGCUGCGAGGCUCGAGUGGGAUAAGGUGCACAAGGUAGCACACGUUGGCCUGGCAGAUAGUGGGUGCUCAAUCAGUGCUUGUUGGAUAAAUGAACCAAUAAAAGCAGUUCUCUCUGAGCCCUGAUUACCAGUGAAAUGGAGCUGAGGGUCCUUUCCUUGGAAAGUUGUUAUAAAGGUUUCUAACUUUGUUUAAAUUAAUGAAUUUAAAUUAAUAAAUAGAGCUUAC